This 436-nucleotide ribosomal RNA is filed under the name uncultured eukaryote. Its description in RNAcentral is "bacterial SSU rRNA". It matches the Rfam family "Eukaryotic small subunit ribosomal RNA", at positions 592 to 1018 of the family's 1831-position model. The record is from RNAcentral.
CAAUAGCGUAUAUUAAAGUUGUUGCAGUUAAAAAGCUCGUAGUUGGAUUUCUGGCAGAGUGUCCUCCGUCCAGCAGUUCGUUUGGUUCGGAGCGCUCUACCAUCCUUCUGUUAACCUUUCCGGGAUUUACUUUUCGGACUGGGGCUCAGAUAUUUUACCUUGAGAAAAUUAGAGUGUUUCAGGCAGGCUAUUCGCCGGAAUACAUUAGCAUGGAAUAAUGGAAAAGGACUGCAACCUCUUCUGUUGGUCUGGGAGGCUGAAGUAAUGAUUAAUAGGGAUAGUUGGGGGCGAUUAGUACUUUCCAGUCAGAGGUGGAAAUUACUCCAAUUUGGUUAAAGGAACUAACUUAUGCGAAAGACAUUUGUCCAACGGAGUGUUUUUCUAUUAAUUCAAGAACGAAAGUUAAGGGGGUAGUCAAAGAAUGAUCAGAUACCAU